GUGAUGGAGAGUUUGAUCCUGGCUCAGGACGAACGCUGGCGGCGUGCGUAAUACAUGCAAGUCGAGCGGGCGUGGCUGGGGGACUGGUCACGUCAGCGGCGGACGGGUGAGGAACACGUGAGUGACCUGGCUCUGGGUGGGGGAUAUCGGGCCGAAAGGCGCGGCAAUCCCGCAUACGCCCUGGAGGGGGGCCUUCAGGGGAAAGCUGGUGACGGCGCCCGGAGGGGGGCUCGCGGCCCAUUAGCUAGUUGGGGGGGUAAUGGCCUCCCAAGGCGACGAUGGGUAGCCGGCCUGAGAGGGUGGACGGCCACACUGGGACUGAGACACGGCCCAGACUCCUACGGGAGGCAGCAGUAGGGAAUCUUCCACAAUGGGCGCAAGCCUGAUGGAGCAACGCCGCGUGAGUGAAGACGGCCUUCGGGUUGUAAAGCUCUGUCGGUCGGGACGAGGACCCGCGGGGGGCCGCGGGGGGGCCGGUACUGGCCGAGGAAGCCCCUGCAAACUACGUGCCAGCAGCCGCGGUAAGACGUAGGGGGCGAGCGUUGUCCGGAAUGACUGGGCGUAAAGGGCGUGUAGG
This 577-nucleotide ribosomal RNA is filed under the name Bacillota bacterium. RNAcentral's name for it is "partial 16S ribosomal RNA". It matches the Rfam family "Bacterial small subunit ribosomal RNA", at positions 1 to 575 of the family's 1533-position model. RNAcentral also lists the same sequence under 1 other name. Lineage: Bacteria; Bacillati; Bacillota. The record is from RNAcentral.